GGCCUACGGGGGGCAGCAGUGCGGCCUCUUGGUCCCUGGUCGGGAGCCUGCACCAGCCAAGCCGCGUGAGGGAUGAAGGUACAGAGUAUCGUAAACCUCUUUUGUCAGGGAACAAAGGCGGGGACGUGUCCCCGGAUGAGUGUACCUGAAGAAAAAGCAUCGGCUAACUCCGUGCCAGCAGCCGCGGUAAUACGGAGGAUGCGAGCGUUAUCCGGAUUUAUUGGGUUUAAAGGGUGCGCAGGCGGUCUGUUAAGUCAGCGGUCAAAGCCCGGGGCUCAACCCCGGCCCGCCGUUGUAAAUGGCAG
RNAcentral lists this ribosomal RNA (305 nucleotides) under uncultured bacterium. RNAcentral's name for it is "bacterial SSU rRNA". It matches the Rfam family "Bacterial small subunit ribosomal RNA", at positions 335 to 639 of the family's 1533-position model. The record is from RNAcentral.